RNAcentral lists this ribosomal RNA (480 nucleotides) under Camellia saluenensis. Its description in RNAcentral is "eukaryotic LSU rRNA". It matches the Rfam family "Eukaryotic large subunit ribosomal RNA", at positions 2927 to 3401 of the family's 3401-position model. Lineage: Eukaryota; Viridiplantae; Streptophyta; Magnoliopsida; Ericales; Theaceae. The record is from RNAcentral.
GAUUGUUCACCCACCAAUAGGGAACGUGAGCUGGGUUUAGACCGUUAUGAGACAAGUUAGUUUUACCGUACUGAUGACAAUAUCGUAACAGUAAUUCAACCGAGUACGAGAGGAACCGUUGAUUCGCACAAUUGGUCAUCACGCUUGGUUGAAAAGCCAAUGGCGCGAAGCUACCGUGCGCUGGAUUAUGAUUGAAUGCCUCUAAGUCAGAAUCUGGGCUAGAAGCGAUGCAUGCACCGGCCGUCCGCUUGCCGACCUGCAGUAGGGCCUGUCCGGCCCCCAAAGGCAAGUGUCGUUGGUGAAGCCCGUGUGGCGGAUGAGCCGUACGGGCCGCCUUGAAAUACAAUUCCUAUCUCAAGCGGCGGGUAGAAUCCUUUGCAGACGACUUAAAUACGUGACGGGAUAUUGUUAGUGGCAAAGUGGCCUUGCUACCACGAUCCACUAAGAUUUAACCCUGCGUCGCUCCGAUUCGUCCCUCCC